GAUGAACGCUGGCGGCGUGCCUAAUACAUGCAAGUCGAGCGAACAGACGAGGAGCUUGCUCCUCUGACGUUAGCGGCGGACGGGUGAGUAACACGUGGAUAACCUACCUAUAAGACUGGGAUAACUUCGGGAAACCGGAGCUAAUACCGGAUAAUAUAUUCAACCGCAUGGUUCAAUAGUGAAAGACGGUUUUGCUGUCACUUAUAGAUGGAUCCGCGCCGCAUUAGCUAGUUGGUAAGGUAACGGCUUACCAAGGCAACGAUGCGUAGCCGACCUGAGAGGGUGAUCGGCCACACUGGAACUGAGACACGGUCCAGACUCCUACGGGAGGCAGCAGUAGGGAAUCUUCCGCAAUGGGCGAAAGCCUGACGGAGCAACGCCGCGUGAAUGAUGAAGGUCUUCGGAUCGUAAAACUCUGUUAUUAGGGAAGAACAAAUGUGUAAGUAACUAUGCACGUCUUGACGGUACCUAAUCAGAAAGCCACGGCUAACUACGUG
Molecule: ribosomal RNA, 497 nt
Filed under: uncultured bacterium
Lineage: Bacteria
Description: partial 16S ribosomal RNA
Rfam family: Bacterial small subunit ribosomal RNA
Source: RNAcentral